This 520-nucleotide ribosomal RNA is filed under the name uncultured Paraglomus. RNAcentral's name for it is "bacterial SSU rRNA". It matches the Rfam family "Eukaryotic small subunit ribosomal RNA", at positions 569 to 1086 of the family's 1831-position model. The record is from RNAcentral. Lineage: Eukaryota; Fungi; Glomeromycota; Glomeromycetes; Paraglomerales; Paraglomeraceae.
AGCAGCCGCGGUAAUUCCAGCUCCAAUAGCGUAUAUUAAAGUUGUUGCAGUUAAAAAGCUCGUAGUUGAACUUCAGGCCUGUCCAGACGGUCCGCCUUAAUUGGUGUGUACUGUCCUUGGGUGGGUCCUACCUUCUGGCGAAGCGGCAUGGCCUUAAUUGGUUGUGUCGGGGAACCAGGACUUUUUACUGUGAAAAAAUUAGAGUGUUCAAAGCAGGCAAAUAUGCUCGAAUACAUUAGCAUGGAAUAAUGGAAUAGGACGAUGGUUCUAUUUUGUUGUUUCUAGGACCGUUGUAAUGAUUAAUAGGGAUAGUUGGGGGCAUUAGUAUUCAAUUGUCAGAGGUGAAAUUCUUGGAUUUAUUGAAGACUAACUACUGCGAAAGCAUUUGCCAAGGAUGUUUUCAUUAAUCAAGAACGAAAGUUAGGGGAUCGAAGACGAAUCAGAUACCGUCGUAGUCUUAACCAUAAACUAUGCCGACUAGGAAUCGGGCGAGUGUUAGCAAAAUGAACUCGCUCGACAA